This 465-nucleotide ribosomal RNA is filed under the name uncultured bacterium. Its description in RNAcentral is "partial 16S ribosomal RNA". It matches the Rfam family "Bacterial small subunit ribosomal RNA", at positions 28 to 507 of the family's 1533-position model. The record is from RNAcentral.
GAUGAACGCUGGCGGCGUGCUUAACACAUGCAAGUCGAACGGAAAGGCACCUGCUUGCUGGGGUAAUCGAGUGGCGAACGGGUGCGUAACACGUGGGUGAUCUGCUCUGCACUUCGGGAUAAGCCUGGGAAACUGGGUCUAAUACCGGAUAGGACGAUGGUUUGGAUGCCAAUGUGGAAAGUUUUUCGGUGUGGGAUGGGCUCGCGGCCUAUCAGCUUGUUGGUGGGGUAAUGGCCUACCAAGGCGUCGGCGGGUAGCCGGCCUGGGAGGGUGGACGGCCACAUUGGGACUGAGAGACGGCCCAGACGCCUACGUGAGGCAGCAGGGGGGAAUAUUGCACAAUGGGCGCGAGCCUGAUGCAGCGACGCCGCGUGGGGGAUGACGGCCUUCUGGUUGUAAACUCCUUUCGCUAGGGACGAAGCGCAAGUGACGGUACCUGGAGAAGAAGCACCGGCUAACUACGUG